RNAcentral lists this ribosomal RNA (468 nucleotides) under uncultured bacterium. RNAcentral describes it as "partial 16S ribosomal RNA". It matches the Rfam family "Bacterial small subunit ribosomal RNA", at positions 28 to 507 of the family's 1533-position model. The record is from RNAcentral.
GACGAACGCUGGCGGCGUGCUUAAUACAUGCAAGUCGAACGGAAAGGCCCUGCUCUUGUGGGGUGCUUGUGUGGCGAACGGGUGUGUAUCACGUGUGUAACCCGUCCCUGUCUUUGGGAUAUCUCUUGGAAACUGGGGCUAAUACCCGAUAGGAGCUCCUACUGCACGGUGGGGGUUGGUAAGUUUCGGCGGUUGGGGAUCGUCUCGCUGCUUAUCAGCUUGUUGGUGUGGUAGUGGCUUACCAAGCCUUCGACGGCUAGCCGACCUGGGCGGGUGACCGGCGACAAUGGGACUGAGAGACGGCCCAGACUCGAACGGUAGGCAGCAGUGGAGAAUAUUACACAAUGGGCGGAAGCCAGAGACAGCAGCGCCGCGAGCGGGAUAACGUCCUACGGGUGAUAAACCGCUUUCGCAUGAGACGAAGCGUGAGUGACGGUAAUGGAUAAAGAAGCACCGGCUAACUACGUG